AUGUGAAACAACCAUUUCAACCAGCUUGGACAAAAGAGAGAAGCCAAGAUGGGGCUGAGAAACCAAUGCAGGCAGGCCCAGGGACCCAGGAGUCAGGGACCAGGUGCUACCAGAUGCUUGCUCCGACUCGUGUUGCUGCUGUCUUCUCUGUGCCUCAACUCUGUCCUCUGUCACUGCAGGCAGCUUCCUCCCAAGGUGGAAGGUGAUAUAUCCCACCUCAUGAAAUCAGGCUUCACCACAAGAUUGCUUUGACCAAGGGGACGUGAGUAGAAGUUUGAAGAACCACAGACUGGUCCAUCACCUUGUUUCUUAUCCCUCUGACAUAAGCAAUGUCCCAGACUGGGGCUGUUCUGUUAGCCUGGCUUCCAGAAUGAAGAGAGCUGAUCUACAUGGCAUAUGUAAGAUAAAUAAACCUUUGUUAUUACAAA
This 428-nucleotide long non-coding RNA is filed under the name Homo sapiens (human). RNAcentral's name for it is "non-protein coding lnc-ATL2-1:3". Lineage: Eukaryota; Metazoa; Chordata; Mammalia; Primates; Hominidae. The record is from RNAcentral.